RNAcentral lists this non-coding RNA (21 nucleotides) under Caenorhabditis elegans. The record is from RNAcentral. Lineage: Eukaryota; Metazoa; Nematoda; Chromadorea; Rhabditida; Rhabditidae.
UAAAGUGAAUUUCAAUGCAUU